RNAcentral lists this ribosomal RNA (463 nucleotides) under Streptococcus mitis. RNAcentral's name for it is "bacterial SSU rRNA". It matches the Rfam family "Bacterial small subunit ribosomal RNA", at positions 28 to 475 of the family's 1533-position model. Lineage: Bacteria; Bacillati; Bacillota; Bacilli; Lactobacillales; Streptococcaceae. The record is from RNAcentral.
GACGAACGCGGCGGCGUGCCUAAUACAUGCAAGUAGAACGCUGAAGGAAGGAGCUUGCUCUUUCCGGUGAGUUGCGAACGGGUGAGUAACGCGUAGGUAACCUGCCUGGUAGCGGGGGAUAACUAUUGGAAACGAUAGCUAAUACCGCAUAAGAGUAGAUGUCGCAUGACAUUUGCUUAAAAGGUGCAAUUGCAUCACUACCAGAUGGACCUGCGUUGUAUUAGCUAGUUGGUGGGGUAACGGCUCACCAAGGCGACGAUACAUAGCCGACCUGAGAGGGUGAUCGGCCACACUGGGACUGAGACACGGCCCAGACUCCUACGGGAGGCAGCAGUAGGGAAUCUUCGGCAAUGGACGGAAGUCUGACCGAGCAACGCCGCGUGAGUGAAGAAGGUUUUCGGAUCGUAAAGCUCUGUUGUAAGAGAAGAACGAGUGUGAGAGUGGAAAGUUCACACUGUGACGG